This is a non-coding RNA of Pelobates cultripes (western spadefoot toad), 216 nucleotides long. The record is from the annotation of a GenBank genome assembly. NCBI's taxonomy places the organism in Eukaryota, Metazoa, Chordata, Amphibia, Anura, Pelobatidae.
GUAUAUUUAUGUAAUUAUAUCGAUUUAUAUGUACCGUAUAUACUCGAGUAUAAGUUGACCUGAAUAUAAGCCGAGGCCCCUAAUUUUACCACAAAAAAGUGGGAACGCCUAUUGACUCGAGUAUAAGCCUAGGGUGGGAAAUGCAACAGCUACUGGUAAAAUUUGCAUUAAUUGAAUAUUUAUUUACAGUGUGUGUAUAUAAUAAAUGCAGGAAGC